RNAcentral lists this ribosomal RNA (627 nucleotides) under Triticum aestivum (bread wheat). RNAcentral describes it as "partial small subunit ribosomal RNA". Lineage: Eukaryota; Viridiplantae; Streptophyta; Magnoliopsida; Poales; Poaceae. The record is from RNAcentral.
AUGAUUGUGCCAGUCAAGGAUGGAACGACCAAGGAUACAUGGAUCUUCUUGAAGCCAUUAACUGCUGACUUGUGGUUUGGAAGCAUUGUAUUCUUCAUAUUCACAGGGGCUGCCAUCUGGCUAUUGGAGCGACGAAUCGAUAACGCUGAACUGACUGGUUCCAUUUCCCGCCAGCUUGGAAUAGCAAUAUAUUUCCGCUUCUUUGUUGAUAAGGAGAGGGUGGAAAGUAUUUUGUCUAGAUUGGUUAUCAUUGUAUGGGUUUUUGUUCUCCUCGUUAUUACAUCAAGUUAUACAGCCAAUUUAUCAUCAAUGCUUACUGUGCAACAGCUUCAACCCACAGUAACUGAUGUCCAUGAACUCCUUAAGAAAUGGGAAUAUGUAGGGUACAAAAAUGGCUCUUUCUUAGGGGACCUAUUAGAACAAAUUGGUUUUGACAGAAGAAAGAUCAAGGCAUACAGUAAUCCAGACGAUUUUGAUGAUGCACUCUGUAAAGGGAGCAAAAAUGGUGGUAUUGCUGCCGUCAUAGAUGAAGUUCCAUACAUCAAAAUAUUCCUCUCUAAGCAUUGCAAAGGUUAUACAAUGGUCGGACCAAUUUACAAGUCUGAAGGUUUUGGCUUUGUAAGUUAG